AGUGAACGCUGGCGGUAGGCCUAACACAUGCAAGUCGAACGGCAGCAUCGUAAGUCCUUGCUCUUACGUGUGUCGCGUGUCGGACGGUUGAGUAAUACUUCGGAAUCUACUUUUUCGUGGGUGCUAACGUAGGGAAACUUACUCUAAUCCCGCAUACGACCUACUUGUGAAAGCACGGGUUCUUCUGACCUUUCGCUAUUGUAUCAGCCAAUGUCGGAUUAGCUAGUUGGCUGGGUAAAGGCCCACCAAGGCGACGAUCCGUAUCUGGUAUGAGAGGAAGAUUAGAGAGACUGGAAGAGAGAAACGGUACAGACACCGAGGGGAGGAAGCAGUGGGGAAUAUUGGACAAUGGAGGAAAGGCUGAUACAGCAAAACCGCGUGAGUGAAGAAGGAGUUAGGGUGGUAAAGCGAUGUUGUUGGGAAAGAAAAGCAGCAGGUUAAUACGCGACGGUUAUGACGGUACCCAAAGAAUAAGCACCGGCUAACUUCGUG
RNAcentral lists this ribosomal RNA (492 nucleotides) under uncultured bacterium. RNAcentral describes it as "partial 16S ribosomal RNA". It matches the Rfam family "Bacterial small subunit ribosomal RNA", at positions 29 to 507 of the family's 1533-position model. The record is from RNAcentral.